CCCUGGGGGUGUCAAAUUGACAUAUUACCUUCCGCGAAAAAGAACAAGACGAUAAUAAUUUUUCGCGACAUCGUCAAUUUUCUCGUGCAGCUUGUUGACAGGAUUUUAUUUAAAGUGCAGCAUUUUGUUUUCUAAUGUCAAAUUAAUUUAAUCUUCGAUGAAAGUAACAUGUAGAGAUUUCGUUUGUUUUUUGUUUACUGAUAUAAAGUUUGAAUGAAAAACGUAUAUGUUGUAACAUCUAUCAUUGCAUACAUUCAAACGUUAGAAAUAAAUUUGUAGAUGAGAACAAAAAUCAUAUACUUAUUAUAGGCAAAUAAAAAAAAGAAAGUACUGUGAUAUAAGCACGAAUAUGACGUAUUGGUUGUGUAUAUUUAAACAAUUUAUUCUCUUUGCAAAUAACGUCUAUGAUGUAUUGGAAAAGAGAAAAGCUAAAUAUCAAUACCUCGAGUGAUAAGUUUGCAAGAAUUUAUUUUUAUCAUAUUUACACGCAAGCACUUUGUUGUUAUACCUUUGACUUUAAACAAACAACACCCGCUACCAAUGUAAGUAAUAAAUUAUUUUAUUUAUACGUUCUAUAAUUAAAACCACUAUACACAUUCUUCAUUAUCCUCAAGGAGAACAGCCAACAAACUACUAAAAAUGCUAUAAUCUACGAUCGAUGACAUAUAGAAUACAUCUGGAUGCAUUCUUUUAGGAAGAGAUAUUUAAGAGCAUGGUCAGCAGAAUGAGUUUUAGAAGAAAUAUAUAUGUACAUAAAGCUAUGAAAAAGAAUAUCGAUAGAAAGAAACAGAAGAUUCUACGGAUCUACAAAAUUAGGAUACCAUAGGAAUGUUCAGUUACGAUCUAAAAACAAUGAGAAUUACUACAAAUUUUAUUAUCUAUCCUCUAAUAACGCAAUAUCCACUUACGGAGAUGGCAGCACCCAAGUUUGCUCGCUUUAAAGAAAAACACAGAAGACAGAUUAUACAACUGUCAUAAAGACUACUAUUAAUUUCAAUAAUGGGUCUCAUGAAAUUAAGAUUACUUCGACAAGAUUAACGGUUGUUGAAAAAUAAUAUAUAAAUAGAGAGAUGUCGUAUGUCAUGAAAUCUGUAUAAGCAUUUGGAAAGUGAUCGCAAACAGUAAGUUUCACACACAUUGCUUUUACCUGUAAAGACAAAAUUUUAAAUCUUUGAAUAUAAACAAUAUUUACUUA
Molecule: long non-coding RNA, 1195 nt
Organism: Vespula vulgaris
Lineage: Eukaryota; Metazoa; Arthropoda; Insecta; Hymenoptera; Vespidae
Exons: 2
Source: RefSeq, a predicted model, not a curated record